Long non-coding RNA from Cyclopterus lumpus (lumpfish), 1124 nucleotides. RefSeq lists it as uncharacterized. Lineage: Eukaryota; Metazoa; Chordata; Actinopteri; Perciformes; Cyclopteridae. The record is from RefSeq and is a predicted model, not a curated record. The transcript has 3 exons.
GAACUGCAUGUUGGAAACAUGUGCAGCUGCAGGAGGAACCAGCAGAACCUCUCCAGGGUUCGAGGGGGCCGAGUCACAACAAGCAUCCAGCAGACCGAGUGAGGACAAUGAGGACUGACUGACAGCGCUCCUGUGGGGCACCGAGGUGAUUAGAGGGUAACAGCUUAAGCAGCAGCAGGCGUGAUUAGGACAGACCAUAAUAACUCAGACCGUUGCUCGGGUUUCAUUCCGUCACUUUUACUCUACCCGUCACUGGAAAUGUGACAAAUCUUCAUGAUCAUUUGAUCUCCUUUUUUUUACUGAUCCAAAAGCAGAAACAACAAGCAGCCUUUUGCUUUACAUACUGGUUGAAGUUGAUGGACGGCUGUAAUGCUCUUGAACCCAAUAACCGCCCCUUCAUGUAUAUUAUUAUAAAGCACCCUCACGGAGUGCUACUCCAUGAGUACUAGCUGGUACAACGUGUGUGACUCGGCUUCAGUGACAGGAGGACAUGGAGUCCUGCAGACACACUCGCGUACCUUCUCCUGCGCUCUGGUGAGCCUCUUCUGGACGCUGAUGGCCAGCUUCCCGGCGGUGACCCCUUUCCCGAUCUCGGCCAUGGCGCGCGGCGUGGAGGGCUCCCCGGCGGUGUGGAAGAAGAGAGGCAGAGUUCACAGCUCCUUAAAGAAAACUCCCAUCAUGCCUCAGCAGGAACCCAAACGUCUAUCUGAUCAGGUGGUCCAUCAUGGUCCAGCACAGACUGGUUCCUGGGGUCAUCCCAGUUAAAAAUACCUUCCUCCCGUCCUCACCUGUCGCCCUGAGCCACGCCCAGCGGGUGGAGGCGUCCCGAGUCCAGCAGCAUCCUCCCCAACCAGUGUAAAAGCCGGGAGUACCAGUGGAUCCCGUCCCGGUGGCUCCCAGUGGAACCAGUCCAGCUGUGGAUCAGCCGGAGCGGCGAGAAGGCCCAGUGAGCCAGGGCGUGCUGGUCCACCACCGCGUAGCAGGACGCCACCACCCCGUCCACCACCAGCGUCCCCUGCUGGGUCAGCGGCGCAAACGCCCCCCUGCUCUCGCCGGUGCUGACCCGGGUGAUCCGGGACAGACGCCCGCGACGCGCCCCCCCCCGCGACACCAGCACGCACUGU